This 758-nucleotide ribosomal RNA is filed under the name uncultured bacterium. RNAcentral's name for it is "bacterial SSU rRNA". It matches the Rfam family "Bacterial small subunit ribosomal RNA", at positions 28 to 776 of the family's 1533-position model. The record is from RNAcentral.
GAUGAACGCUAGCUACAGGCUUAACACAUGCAAGUCGAGGGGCAUCAGGAAGAAAGCUUGCUUUCUUUGCUGGCGACCGGCGCACGGGUGAGUAACACGUAUCCAACCUGCCCUUUACUCGGGGAUAGCCUUUCGAAAGAAAGAUUAAUACCCGAUAGUAUAAUGAUUCCGCAUGGUUUCAUUAUUAAAGGAUUCCGGUAAAGGAUGGGGAUGCGUUCCAUUAGGUUGUUGGUGAGGUAACGGCUCACCAAGCCUUCGAUGGAUAGGGGUUCUGAGAGGAAGGUCCCCCACAUUGGAACUGAGACACGGUCCAAACUCCUACGGGAGGCAGCAGUGAGGAAUAUUGGUCAAUGGGCGCUAGCCUGAACCAGCCAAGUAGCGUGAAGGAUGAAGGCUCUAUGGGUCGUAAACUUCUUUUAUAUAAGAAUAAAGUGCAGUAUGUAUACUGUUUUGUAUGUAUUAUAUGAAUAAGGAUCGGCUAACUCCGUGCCAGCAGCCGCGGUAAUACGGAGGAUCCGAGCGUUAUCCGGAUUUAUUGGGUUUAAAGGGAGCGUAGGUGGACUGGUAGGUCAGUUGUGAAAGUUUGCGGCUCAACCGUAAAAUUGCAGUUGAUACUGUCAGUCUUGAGUACAGUAGAGGUGGGCGGAAUUCGUGGUGUAGCGGUGAAAUGCUUAGAUAUCACGAAGAACUCCGAUUGCGAAGGCAGCUCACUGGACUGCAACUGACACUGAUGCUCAAAGGUGUGGGUAUCAAACAGG